GCUGCCCUCUUUCUUCUUUCCUAAUACAUGCAAGUCGAGCGAACAGACGAGGAGCUUGCUCCUCUGACGUUAGCGGCGGACGGGUGAGUAACACGUGGAUAACCUACCUAUAAGACUGGGAUAACUUCGGGAAACCGGAGCUAAUACCGGAUAAUAUAUUGAACCGCAUGGUUCAAUAGUGAAAGACGGUUUUGCUGUCACUUAUAGAUGGAUCCGCGCCGCAUUAGCUAGUUGGUAAGGUAACGGCUUACCAAGGCAACGAUGCGUAGCCGACCUGAGAGGGUGAUCGGUCACACUGGAACUGAGACACGGUCCAGACUCCUACGGGAGGCAGCAGUAGGGAAUCUUCCGCAAUGGGCGAAAGCCUGACGGAGCAACGCCGCGUGAGUGAUGAAGGUCUUCGGAUCGUAAAACUCUGUUAUUAGGGAAGAACAAAUGUGUAAGUAACUAUGCACGUCUUGACGGUACCUAAUCAGAAAGCCACGGCUAACUACGUG
Molecule: ribosomal RNA, 497 nt
Filed under: uncultured bacterium
Lineage: Bacteria
Description: partial 16S ribosomal RNA
Rfam family: Bacterial small subunit ribosomal RNA
Source: RNAcentral